UACGAAGGGGGCAAGCGUUGUUCGGAAUUACUGGGCGUAAAGGGCGCGUAGGCGGCUUAUCAAGUCAUGCGUGAAAUUCCCGGGCUCAACCUGGGGGCUGCGCUUGAUACUGAUUGGCUUGAAUGCGGGAGAGGAUAGUGGAAUUCCCAGUGUAGAGGUGAAAUUCGUAGAUAUUGGGAAGAACACCGGUGGCGAAGGCGGCUAUCUGGCCCGUAAUUGACGCUGAGGCGCGAAAGCGUGGGGAGCAAACAGG
This 253-nucleotide ribosomal RNA is filed under the name uncultured bacterium. RNAcentral describes it as "partial 16S ribosomal RNA". It matches the Rfam family "Bacterial small subunit ribosomal RNA", at positions 524 to 776 of the family's 1533-position model. The record is from RNAcentral.